Molecule: non-coding RNA, 78 nt
Organism: Potamilus streckersoni
Lineage: Eukaryota; Metazoa; Mollusca; Bivalvia; Unionida; Unionidae
Source: the annotation of a GenBank genome assembly
GCUAUGGUGGCCUAGUAGUUAGAGCAUCCGCCUCAGAUGCGAAUGGUCGUGGGUUCGAUCCUCGGUAGAGCCAUGCCA